CCUACGGGUGGCAGCAGUGAGGAAUAUUGGUCAAUGGGCGCGAGCCUGAACCAGCCCAGUAGCGUGAAGGAUGACUGCCCUACGGGUUGUAAACUUCUUUUAUAAAGGAAUAAAGUGAGGCAAGUGUGCCUUUUUGUAUGUACUUAAUGAAUAAGGAUCGGCUAACUCCGUGCCAGCAGCCGCGGUAAUACGGAGGAUCUGAGCUUUAUACGGUUUUAUUGGGUUUAAAGGGAGCGUAGAUGGGUUGUUAAGUCAGUUGUGAAAGUGUGCGGCUCAACCGUAAAAUUGCAAUUGAGACUGGCAGCCUUGAGUACAGUUGAGGUAGGCGGAAUUCGUGGUGUAGCGGUGAAAUGCUUAGAUAUCACGAAGAACUCCGAUUGCGAAGGCAGCUUACUAAACUGCCACUGACAUUGAUGCUCGAAAGUGUGGGUAUCAAACAGGAUUAGAUACCCGGGUAGUC
Molecule: ribosomal RNA, 460 nt
Filed under: uncultured bacterium
Lineage: Bacteria
Description: partial 16S ribosomal RNA
Rfam family: Bacterial small subunit ribosomal RNA
Source: RNAcentral